GAAUGCUUAAGGUAUUAGACAAUAUUUUCAUCAGAGCUAAUAAUUACUUCUCCCCCUUUUUGUCAUAAUCAAAAAGACAUAGUAAAAAAGAAUAAGUAAAGAGAAAAUAAAUAAAGAGAAAAACUUGAAAUUUAUAGAUAGAAGCACAAAGGCAACAAACAAAACAUCAGAUUCAAAGGAACAAGAAAAACAUCAGAUCCAAAAGAAGACAGAAGCAAAAAAAAUAGGCAAGCAAAAAAAAUAAUCCUAAGUGCCUAAGGGUUCGGAGGCGGAGGCAUUCUCUGAAGCAGCAUAGCAAGCAUGUUCUGGAUGUUUUCGUUGACAGUAUCUUGCUUGUCCAUUCU
Molecule: long non-coding RNA, 344 nt
Filed under: Lathyrus oleraceus (garden pea)
Lineage: Eukaryota; Viridiplantae; Streptophyta; Magnoliopsida; Fabales; Fabaceae
Description: Pisum sativum (pea) long non-coding RNA (PSAT_LNC026984)
Source: RNAcentral